GCUCUCUUAGUGCAGUAGGCAGCAUGUCAGUCUCAUAAUCUGAAGGUCCUGAGUUUGAACCUCAGACAGGGCA
This 73-nucleotide transfer RNA is filed under the name Bos taurus (domestic cattle). Its description in RNAcentral is "tRNA-Met (CAT) (tRNA-Met-CAT-11-1)". It matches the Rfam family "tRNA". From Rfam's summary of the family: Transfer RNA (tRNA) molecules are approximately 80 nucleotides in length. Their secondary structure includes four short double-helical elements and three loops (D, anti-codon, and T loops). Lineage: Eukaryota; Metazoa; Chordata; Mammalia; Artiodactyla; Bovidae. The record is from Rfam by way of RNAcentral. RNAcentral also lists the same sequence under 4 other names.